Molecule: long non-coding RNA, 1091 nt
Organism: Molossus molossus (Pallas's mastiff bat)
Lineage: Eukaryota; Metazoa; Chordata; Mammalia; Chiroptera; Molossidae
Exons: 4
Source: RefSeq, a predicted model, not a curated record
CCGGCCGAACGUGGUGCGGUGGAACCGUGAAUACUCCGCGGUACUGGGGCUUUGGGGCUGGUAGCCGGCAGCGGUCCCUUGACCUGCCAGGAUCUUGCUUUGGGCGGCCGGAGAGCCACUAGGGACUCGGUCCCGCGCCACCGCCUUCCGAUUUUAAACCGAAUUUUAAACUUUUCCAGGACGUGUUGUUCAUUGCCCAGCCCUGCGGGGGCGGGAUCUUAUCUCCCUCCUAGGUCUGCCGUGAACUUUCAUGGUGAAGGGUGAAUGGAAGCAAACUCCGAGGGUCAGUUUCCUGGCGGAGCAAUUCAAUGCUUUGUGCCGGUGAGGCGAGGGUGGCCCAGGAUGGUCAAGGAUCGCCCAGCUUCUCCAUUCUCUCCAGCAUUGUCCAUGGCCAAAGAUCGCCCAGCUUCUCCAUUUUCUCCAGCAACGGUCAGGCCCGUGGGCGCAGGAGAUAGAAGCGUAACAGGAGUGAAUUGUGACAGCCAGUACCAUGUUUUGAGCGCCUGCUUACAUGCAACCGGAUCCUCACAGCAAACAAAACUGUAGGAAGUAUACGCUAUUAUCACGCCCAUAUUACAGAUAACAUCACCAAGUGUCAAUUAAGUCACUUGCCAGAGUCACACAGCUAGACGGUCGCUGAAGUUAAAGCUACCAUGAUGGUAAAGGGUGAUACGAGGACCCAGAGAAAGAGUCCUGAGUUUUGUGUGUGUGUGUUUUCUUGUUCCACUCCAGGGGAAAGGUCAGGUCUUCAAGCUGUUGUAGCAAAUGCAGAUCUAGAGGCUUCGGUGCACUGGCAGAAAAUUCCUGAAGCUUGACCCUAUCUCAUAGAAAAGCCACUUGGAUUAUUAAUGCAGGAGAUGCAUGGGAAUGUUUGCAAAACUACAAAUAUCUUGAGAUGGGAAGAAUGAAGGAUGAAUCAUUUGCUAUGAUGUGGAUCUGUGGCUUUCAUCGAGUUCUCUAAAAUCACCAAAAAGUUUAUGAGCCACUACUUUAGGGUUUUGGUGAAAAGUUAAGGGAGUCUUUCUUAUGACCAGGAUAUCCAGUAGCACACCCUGGCCUGAGCUUCUUAACAGAGCACAGAGAUAUGAUAU